GGGAGCGCGCAUGCGCAGCGCUGCUGGCCCGCUCUCUGAGGAGCUUUCAAUACUUUGGGGUCAAGUUUGAGGCAGUUGUAACUGUACUGAGUUUAGUUUUGCUAAUAAUGGUAUUCUACGUGUGUCAGCCUCGUGUGGACUUCUGUAAUGACUAAUGGAUAUGUUUAUAUCCUGAGCAUUUGCUGUAGGAAUUUUAAAUGCAAUCCCAAAACUCAAGAUUACCUUAUUUGGAGAAAUAUUCGUGUUACUAUGUUUAAAAUUUAAUAGAACCAUAUUUUACCUUUCACUUUGGGACUCGCACAGGAUGUUUGCAGCUCUUGAUAUACAGGAACUAGAACGUGUCUUUUAAGAGCAUGCGGUUUUAUAAUUACGUGGAAGUAUGCUACGCAAGGGAAAAAAGCCUCUUGCUAGUGUUAAGGGUCUUCAUAAACAGAAACCGCAAGGAACCUGGGAUCUGACAGCUGUUGGAGGAAUGCCUGUGAGGAAGGAGGAGGAACAGAAGAAUGCUUUGAUGUCUUAAAUGGUACAUCCAAACUUAAGUGAAAUAGAGCUGUGAGGACAUUUUGGGGAGAAGUGACCUAGAUAAGCACUGACUGUUGCAUUCAUCUCUCUUCUUGCUGAUUGUGAUGAUUUCCUGUGCCAUAGCCAUUCAAAGUCUGCCAAAAAAGGCCUUGCCUCCUGGAUGGCAUUUUUGAACCCACCCUGGGCCAGAGGGGAGCCCACUUCUUUGAAGACAGAAACACAGGACUGGCAACAUUUACCAUAAGCUGACUGAGCAGCCAUUGGGCCUUGAGUGAACAUUGGUGGUAGCCAGGCAGUACUUGUCUCAGUACUUGCCUCAGGCCUGGGGUGUCGGUGACCACAGGGAGAGCAUCCAUCUGCUUGAGGAAAGGAGAACAAAGAAAAUAAAGGGCUUAAUCUUGCACUUGAUUGCCAGCUCAGCCAUAGUAGAAUACAGCACCAAGUAAAUUCCUAAGGAUCCUGAUUCCAGGUCCUGGCUCCCAGAUGACAUUUUAGGACUUGUCUUGGGCUUAGGGGGAGCUCGUCAUACUGAAGGGAAAAACACAAGCCUGGCUGGAUUUGCCACCAGCUGAAUAAAGAGUGCUUGGGCCUUGAGUGAACAUUGGCAAUAGCCAAGGAGUGGUCACCAUGGACCUUAGGCAAGAAACCCGGUGCCGUGCUGGCUUUGGAUCUGACCCAGCAUAAUCUCACUGGUAUUUUACUUCUUGUCCAUUUACUUUUUAGUUUAUCAUACACACCAUGUUUACUAGUACUAAAACUGUCUUAAAAUAUUGCAAUUUUGACCCUUUUUCUAAUUGACCUUUAUGUUUUUACAAGCACAUUUUAUUACAUAUGAAUGAGACUUUACUAUGUUAUAUGUAACUCUUAAUUCUGUAAAUAAUAGAUUGCUUAUCUGAAAUAUAGCUGAUAUUUGUUUCUUAAUUAUUUGGCUAUUCCCUAUAUGUUAUACUCUACUAAAGAUCAUGGGAUUUAGAUUCAGAAAACUUACUUCCUAGCUCUUAUUAUUUCUGUGAUCUUGCAAAAGAAAACAAAAAUGAACCAUUGUUUUUUUAUCUGUAACAGGAAAUGUACUUCACAGGAUUGUAAUGAGAAUUAAAUUAGAUAAUAUACAUGAAAAUCAC
Long non-coding RNA from Homo sapiens (human), 1643 nucleotides. Ensembl annotates it as LYPLAL1 divergent transcript. Its record names the gene LYPLAL1-DT. Lineage: Eukaryota; Metazoa; Chordata; Mammalia; Primates; Hominidae. The record is from Ensembl.